Molecule: RNA transcript, 1953 nt
Organism: Zingiber officinale
Lineage: Eukaryota; Viridiplantae; Streptophyta; Magnoliopsida; Zingiberales; Zingiberaceae
Gene name: 40S ribosomal protein S26-like
Exons: 5
Source: RefSeq, a predicted model, not a curated record
AGAAGUUGCUCUUCGCCGCCGCCGCUUCUGCGUUUUGCAACUCCGAAACCCUAACGAGCUGCCAGUGGGCGCCGAAGAUGACUUUCAAGCGCAGGAACGGAGGGCGCAACAAGCAUGGCCGCGGUCAUGUUAACUUCAUCCGCUGCUCCAACUGCGGCAAGUGCUGCCCAAAGGACAAAGCAAUAAAGAGAUUUCUUGUGAGGAACAUAGUGGAGCAGGCUGCUGUCCGGGAUGUGCAGGAAGCGUGUGCAUAUGAUGGGUACACUCUUCCUAAGCUAUACAUCAAGGUGCAAUACUGCGUCUCUUGUGCAAUCCACUCCAAAGUUGUCAGAGUUAGAUCUCGCACUGACAGGAGGAACCGUGAGCCUCCACAGCGUUUCAGACGCAGGGUACUUGUUUGAUUACUUUUGUGUUUACAUAACUCUUAUUGGAUGAUUACUGUUAUACCAUGUCACAUUUUUAUUUAGUUGCACAAUUUUCAUUUUUUAUGUUUUAUGUGAUAUAUUUUUAUAUGCUCCUCCUAAUCUAGAAGGAUCCAGCACCUUUCAAUUUAUACUAAAUCAUCCACUUAAAAUGCUUAUUUGUUGACAACUAUUCAAUUCCCUUUGUCUAUCUUUUCUUAACAUGUUAUUAAUACUAAAAUUAAAAAUAUCUCAUAGCCACAUCAACACGUGAGCUGUGGUUGUUAACUCAUUGUGACAACUUGCACAUAUAAUAUGCUAGUAUCUCUCAUGCUAAAUAUGAGUUGUUUGCUAUAUCAGUUUAACUUUUUGUGUAAAUUUCAUGAAUAGACGAAAUCUCUAUUUUCUUCCAAUAUUACUUGUUAUCAUGAUGCUAUGCUCUACUGCUAGGACAAGCUUUAGACAAUCUAAGAUAUUUGAUUGAUUAUCUAGUAAGUAAGAUCACUUGGGUAGUGUUUUUAAAAGGUUAUUAUUUAUUAAUUAUGUAAGUGGCACUCCACUGUCAUAAUGUUUUUUUGUUCAAAUUGGAUAGUUGAACAUGUUUGAUUCAAUUGGACUUUUUUUUUAAAAAAAACUAUAAAUUUUUUUUACCCGAAGGGAUGUUGUGUGGCUAUUAAUUGAGCAUUCAUGUCAUGUCCUAAGCAUCACAACACAACACAAUAAUUCCAUAAGUCAAUUAGUGAAUUCAGGGAGAUCCAAAUAAUCAUGUAAAAUGAUCAAGGGAAUUAGAUUACUCAAUGCUCCUAUUGAUGAUCAGGAUGAUUAUAAUAUUAGGAUCGGAUGCGGAUGUUGGUAACCAUAGCAUAGCUUCAUUUCCUGCUGUCAAGCAAAUGGAAUAUAUGUUCUGAACGAUUGGUACUAGUGCACUGGUCGAGUCUAGUGACCCAAUUGGGACAAAAAGUUCAAAUUCUUUUAGAUAGAGGCAUUUUCAGGAUCAUUUUGUGUAAGUAAUCUUUUUCUUAGGCUUGGAGUGCUAGGCAGAAAUGUUUCUUAUGUGCCUGGUGAUCAUUUUUGUGUUGAUCAAUAAGUGGAUGAAACAUUGAGGGAUCAUUGUACCAAAUGGGAGUCUCAUCAACUUUGCUUGCUAUGACUAGUUUGUGGUACAAUUCUCCUUUCAAAUGAAUAAAUUAUCAUAUAUCAAUUGGACCAUUUUGCUAUAGUAAAACAGAAACACCACCAUACAGGUUCAUUGAGUCUAUCAUUUGUAAUAAAGGAAAACUGUUCAGUUGGUACGUGUGUGCUUCUUGUUGAUCGAUGCUUGGAACUUCAACUGCCCAAAUUUAGUUCUGCAAUGUUAAAUAGUUGUAUUGUUAUCUGCUUUGAUCUUGUAUUAGUUAGUUUGUACUCCAUUACAGCUUAUUGCAACAAAUAUCCUAAUUAGUUCCAUAAUAUUUCUAUGCAGGAUGAUCAGGCAAGGCCUGGACAAGGCCCUCGUCCUGCAGGUGCAGCAACUGGAACUGGAACUGGACCUGCCCGUCCAUAAAGAAAUGCA